AAUUCCUAGGAAUUCUGGCUUUGAAAGUCCGUCAAGUCUGCUGAAAAGACAACAGGACAAGUGGUAAUAGCCAGGUGACUAUUCUGGGGUGUGGUUAAAGAAGAAGCAAUUAAGAAUUUAAGUUAAAAGAGAGAGAUGAACAGGGUAAGUUAAAAAAAAAGUAAAAAUAGGAAAAAUAUAGGCUAAAAGAACUUAUUUAAUGAAGAAACUAUAGAAGAG
RNAcentral lists this long non-coding RNA (219 nucleotides) under Capsicum annuum. RNAcentral's name for it is "long non-coding RNA (CANN_LNC005007)". Lineage: Eukaryota; Viridiplantae; Streptophyta; Magnoliopsida; Solanales; Solanaceae. The record is from RNAcentral.